UGGAUUUAUCUCAUCAGUUUUCUCACAGUGUUUCGGAUUCAUCACAUCUCAGUUUCUUGUCUACUUGUUAAAUUAUUGCAAUUUUUAUCGUUUAACAUAAAAUUCACAUUCGCAUAAUAAAUGAAUGUGAUUCUUAAUUUUCAUUUAAUUCCCAUCAUGUUGAUGUCAAAAAAUAGUGAAUUUUAGAAUUGCUAUUUUUUUGCAGUCGAUUCAAUCUGUGUUUUGGUCUGCUCGUUAAAUGCCAUGAAUUGGAUGGUGCUGCCUCUCCCGAUUCCCUGCCAAAAUUUCCACCAAAUUUUCCCUUUUUUUUCAGUGACAAUUUCCUAAUUCGCGAGGGGAAAAAAAAUUGGUUUUAUUCACAAAUCAUACUUUUAACCUUUACUUGACAGAUGGAAAAAAAGACAAAUGUGAAAUUCUUUUUUGUGUUAAAUGUCUGUUUUGAAGUGUUGUGCAAAAUUCGAUUUUUAUUGACAGAAAGUGUUUCGAAGUCGAGGGAUUUUUUUAUUAGAAAUAAGUUUUUAUAUGUAUACUUAGAGAAAAAUAUUAAUAACUGUUGGAACUAUUUUUAAUCCAGUGUCUAUAUUUUUAGUGUUAUUUCACAACAGUGAAAUAAUACACAAAAAAAUAAGUAAAUUGAAAAAAUAUGUACGAGAAGCAGAACAUAACCUAAAAUUUCAGAAAGCAAAAAAGCAAAUAAUCAUUUUGAUUCAUUGAUG
Long non-coding RNA from Leptopilina heterotoma, 716 nucleotides. RefSeq lists it as uncharacterized. Lineage: Eukaryota; Metazoa; Arthropoda; Insecta; Hymenoptera; Figitidae. The transcript is spliced from 2 exons. The record is from RefSeq and is a predicted model, not a curated record.